RNAcentral lists this ribosomal RNA (500 nucleotides) under uncultured bacterium. Its description in RNAcentral is "partial 16S ribosomal RNA". It matches the Rfam family "Bacterial small subunit ribosomal RNA", at positions 30 to 523 of the family's 1533-position model. The record is from RNAcentral.
AUUGAACGCUGGCGGCAUGCCUUGCACAUGCAAGUCGAACGGCAGCACGGGAGCAAUCCUGGUGGCGAGUGGCGAACGGGUGAGUAAAGUAUCGGAACGUGCCCAGUCGUGGGGGAUAACGUAGCGAAAGUUACGCUAAUACCGCAUACGAACUAUGGAUGAAAGCGGGGGAUCGCAAGACCUCGCGCGAUUGGAGCGGCCGAUAUCAGAUUAGGUAGUUGGUGGGGUAAAGGCUCACCAAGCCGACGAUCUGUAGCUGGUCUGAGAGGACGACCAGCCACACUGGGACUGAGACACGGCCCAGACUCCUACGGGAGGCAGCAAUGGGGAAUUUUGGACAAUGGGCGCAAGCCUGAUCCAGCCAUGCCGCGUGCAGGAUGAAGGCCUUCGGGUUGUAAACUGCUUUUGUACGGAACGAAAAGGUUUGACUUAAUACGUUGGACUCAUGACGGUACCGUAAGAAUAAGCACCGGCUAACUACGUGCCAGCAGCCGCCGUAA